AGCACAUCCGUUUUCCUUACAGUAUGUAGUACGCAUUCUACCUUUUCCUACAAUGAAUCCACCAGCAGAAAUUCCUGUACACAUCUUAUCAACAAAGAAUUUGAACCUCAAAGAGACUAGCAAGUACACAGGACCACUGUACAGUAACAGAUCAGUUACACUGAGACAACAGAGUUUACAGCAGAGAAAGAGUUUAAUGCUCACCGGAUACCAAGUGGCUCAAAGAGGUCAGGAGGCACCUUCAACACUUUUAUUGGAGAUCUCCUUGUCUAGAUCAUCAGAUUCUCACUGUGUUACCUAGGCUGCAGUGCAGUGGUGCGAUCUCAACUCACUGCAACCUCUACCUCCUGGGUUCAAGCAAUUCUCCUGCCUCAGCCUCCCAAGUAGCUGGGAUUAC
Molecule: long non-coding RNA, 397 nt
Filed under: Homo sapiens (human)
Lineage: Eukaryota; Metazoa; Chordata; Mammalia; Primates; Hominidae
Description: HSALNT0349008
Source: RNAcentral